CUCAUGAAAAGUAUUCGUUGACUCCAGCCCUGAAAGCAAGACUUUGCCUGCGAAACAUUCAAAUAAGAGCCAUGUCUCUCGAUUCUCUCCUUCAAGAAUUGGUCUUUAACUCUUCUGUUUUUUGAAUUUUUGCCUUCCCUUCACUACUCUAAAAAGAACCAACUAUCUGGUUGAAGCAUUUUUGGCGCCCUUGUAGGAUUUCUUGUUUCUGGGUUUCUUUUUAUCCUACUUCACUUUCCCUUCUCCUCCUCUUGGCUCAAUCUUACCAAAGAACACUUGAAGCCUGCUAACAGAACUCGAAUUCUCGGUGCAAAUUUUCGACAGAGCUUGUGAUUCUCGGUAGCUGAUUCUUUUGUAUCCUCUGUAGUGAUUCACAGUGUUAGGCUUUCUGGCUAACUGGGUUCUCUCCAUAUGCUCGGUUUUACGUCAUUUGAGUUGUUGGUGAUUCAGUUGUGAAAAUACUACAUGAGAAAGUUAGAGACACAGUAAUAUGAAAACAGACAGAGGAUACUUUCCAACUUAAUGGAGAGUGACACUGCUGUUGUGGAACUUCCUUAUUACUGUACCAUUAAGGUGCAUCGUUUAAUCUGCUUAAAGCUAAAGAGUUAUAUUGAUAGAAUAUCUCAGAUAUUUUCUGCCAUUGAAUCUGCUCGACCACGAUGUGGAACAGGAAUGCAGGCACUGUGCUCAUUACACCAUGCGAUGGAUAAAGCCAAGCUUCUUAUCCAGAACUGCACUGAGUCUAGUAAAUUAUACUUGGCAAUUACAGCAGAUAAAAUAGUUUUGAGAUGUGAAAGAAUAUGCAACUGUUUGGAGUCGAGUUUAAGACAAAUUCAAAAUAAUGUUCCAACAUUGUUGGCUGCAAAGAUAUCUGGUAUUGUUGAAGACCUUAAGGGUGCAAAAUUUACUGUGGAAUCUGCUGAUGAUGAGGCUGGAAGGGUUGUUCUAGCAUUGGUUCGGCAGGGCAUGCCUGACUCUGAAUCUAUAAAUAUUUCUGAACUUGAAGCUAUUCAAAUCGCUGCUUCAAGGCUGAAUAUUGCAUCCCAUAUGGCACUCUUGAUUGAGAAAAGGUCUAUAAAGAGGCUAAUUGACAAAGUUCCUGACACAAACCUAACAAAGAUGAAAAUCUUGAAGUACCUCCUAUAUCUUCUGAGGAAGUAUGGAGAUUCAAUAAGGGGCCGCAAUACUGAGAGCACUACUAUGUAUCAGUCCAUUGAGCAAGAACCACAUGAAGAAAGUGCAAUAUAUGAAACUCUAGCUGAUGACUUCAGUGUAACCAAACCUCCUGAGGAAUUCAAAUGUCCCAUCUCUAUGAGACUGAUGUAUGAUCCUGUUGUUAUAGCUUCUGGGCAAACAUAUGAAAGAUUCUGGAUAACUAAGUGGUUCAAUGAUGGGAAUGAUACAUGUCCAAAGACACAUGAAAAGUUGUCUCAGUUUUUCCUCACUCCAAACUCCACAAUGAAGAACCUCAUUUCGAGGUGGUGCUUGAAGCAUGGGAUCAGUAUUUCUGAUCCAUGUUCACAACAAGCUCCUGAAUCCCUUCCUUUGCAGAAACUUUCACCAUCCAGUUCCAUUGCUAGCUUUGCCAGUUCUCUGAAUGGUCUGUGCCUGCAAACCAGCAGUGUGUCAUUACACUCUACAGACACCAAUUUUCCUUCAAAUAAAUUGGACAUAAGGAUGGAUAAUGGCUCUGCACACGAGCUUCCUCAGAUGAAUGCUGAUUCUCAGGGAUGCCAAUCUUCUGCAAAUAGGCAUGGCAUGAAUUUUGCCUUUCUCUCCAAACUUGCUGCACUUCCAUGGGAAUCCCAGUGCAAGGAGAUUGGAAACGUAAGAGAUCAACUGAAAGACAGUAUUCAAGCAUGUCAUUCUACAUUUUCCUCUAGUUACAUCAAACCGCUGAUUAGAUUUUUGAAGGAUGCAUGUGAAAAUGGCAAUUUACAAGCACAGCGAGAUGGAGCUCUAGUUCUUUUGUAUUUUCUAAAUAAACGCAGAAGUGAAAUGCCACCCUUACAUGAAGAUGCAAUUUAUGUUUUAGCAUCAUUUCUGGACUCAGAAAUCACUGAAGAAGCGCUUGCAAUCAUGGAAGUGUUGUCUUGCCAACGUCAUUAUAAGUCAGAAAUUGUGGCAUCUGGUGUUCUUCCUUCCAUCAUAAAAUUCCUUGACACCAAAAUGAAGAAAUUCCAUGUGCUUGCUCUGAAAAUACUCUGCAAUUUGUCCUCAAACCAUGAUAUGGGAUACCACAUUGUCUAUUUGGAUUGCAUCCCAAAGCUGGCUCCAUUCUUUGUUGAUCACAAACUUGCAGGAUAUUGCAUUAAAAUUUUCAGAAACUUGUGUGAUAUCGAGGAGGUUAGGAUUACAGUGGCUGAGACCAAUCAAUGCAUUGAUUUCAUUGCUAAAAUACUAGAAAAUGCCAGUGAGGAGGAGCAAGAAGAUGCCUUGGAAGUUGUUCUUUCUCAAUGUCAUUACAGGGAGGAGUAUGGUCAGCUUUUCAGGGAAGAUCACAUUGUUCAAUCAUUGUUCCAUAUCUCUCUCAAUGGGAAUGCCAGAGGACAGGAGAUUGCUAAGGAAUUACUCCAGCUUUUGAGAAAUAUUAAAAAUGACCCCGUUCUAGAAUGUUCAAGUUCUAGUUCUACCUCCGAUGAAGUCAUACAAGAUUUUGUUAUCAACUCCAAAGGAAAGAAACUGCCGUUGAAGGCAUCUAGAAUUCUGGGAAAGAAAAUAUUAAGAUUCAGAAAACCAAGAAGCUAGUGUUGCUUUGACCCUUUGGUGACUUCAAAACUAUCUCAACUGUUCCACAUUGCUUGAUGGGACUCUGGGGAUGAGCUUUCCACCAUUAGUCAUUACAUGAAUCAUAUAUUGUGACUGGCUAUAUGUAUGAUCCCAACAAUGUGUUCCUGCCCUUUUUGUACUUAACAGAUCAGGAAGCUGGAGUAGCUCAGUUGGUUAGAGCGUGUGGCUGUUAACCACAAGGUCGAAGGUUCAAGCCCUUCCUCUAGCGUUUUCCGGUCUGGCUGGCUCAGUUGGCUUGCUAUGACUUUGUACAUAUAUAAAGGACAGUGAUAUUGAGAAAGAAAGGUGUAGGUCAGUGAUUUAGAUUUUGAUUAUAAAUCAAUUUUAUUUUUUUUA
Molecule: RNA transcript, 3126 nt
Organism: Vitis riparia (riverbank grape)
Lineage: Eukaryota; Viridiplantae; Streptophyta; Magnoliopsida; Vitales; Vitaceae
Gene name: U-box domain-containing protein 5-like
Exons: 8
Source: RefSeq, a predicted model, not a curated record